RNAcentral lists this ribosomal RNA (227 nucleotides) under uncultured bacterium. RNAcentral's name for it is "partial 16S ribosomal RNA". It matches the Rfam family "Bacterial small subunit ribosomal RNA", at positions 15 to 231 of the family's 1533-position model. The record is from RNAcentral.
GAUCAUGGCUCAGGAUGAACGCUGGCGGCGUGCUUAACACAUUCAAGUCGAACGGAGUUCAAUUGGGAGCUUGCUCCCGGCUGAACUUAGUGGCGGACGGGUGAGUAAUGCAUGAGCAACCUGCCUUCAGGAGGGGGAUAACAUCGGGAAACCGGUGCUAAUACCGCAUAGAGCAUUUUGCAGGCAUCUGCGAGAUGGGAAAGGAGCAAUCCGCCUGGAGAUGGGCU